Non-coding RNA from Pelobates cultripes (western spadefoot toad), 235 nucleotides. The record is from the annotation of a GenBank genome assembly. Lineage: Eukaryota; Metazoa; Chordata; Amphibia; Anura; Pelobatidae.
AUUACAAUGAAUCCACCGUUAUUACAAUACAAUGAAUCUGCCAUGAUUACAAUAAAAUACAAUGAAUUCGCCGUGAUUACAAUACAAUGAAUCCGUCAUGAUUACAAUAAACUACAAUGAAUCCGCCAUGAUUACAAUACAAUGAAUCCGCCAUGAUUACAAUAAAAUACAAUAAAUCCGCCGUGAUUACAAUAAAAUACAUACAAUGAAUCCGCCAUGGUUACAAUGAAUGCGC